This 889-nucleotide ribosomal RNA is filed under the name Acremonium polychromum. RNAcentral describes it as "eukaryotic LSU rRNA". It matches the Rfam family "Eukaryotic large subunit ribosomal RNA", at positions 1 to 915 of the family's 3401-position model. Lineage: Eukaryota; Fungi; Ascomycota; Sordariomycetes; Hypocreales; Bionectriaceae. The record is from RNAcentral.
ACCAAGGUCGACCUCAGAUCAGGUAGGAAUACCCGCUGAACUUAAGCAUAUCAAUAAGCGGAGGAAAAGAAACAACAGGGAUUGCCUCAGUAACGGCGAGUGAAGCGGCAACAGCUCAAAUUUGAAAUCUGGCCUCUGGCCCGAGUUGUAAUUUGCAGAGGAUGUUUCUGGCGAGGUGCCUUCCGAGUUCCCUGGAACGGGACGCCAUAGAGGGUGAGAGCCCCGUACGGUUGGUCGCUAAGCCUCUGUGAAACUCCUUCGACGAGUCGAGUAGUUUGGGAAUGCUGCUCUAAAUGGGAGGUGUACGCCUUCUAAAGCUAAAUAUAGGCUAGAGACCGAUAGCGCACAAGUAGAGUGAUCGAAAGAUGAAAAGCACUUUGAAAAGAGGGUUAAAUAGUACGUGAAAUUGUUGAAAGGGAAGCGCUCUUGACCAGACUUGCGCCGGUUGAUCAUCCACCGUUCUCGGUGGUGCACUCUGCCGGCUCAGGCCAGCAUCAGUUCGGCUUGGGGGAUAAAGGCUUCGGGAAUGUGGCUCUCUCCGGGGAGUGUUAUAGCCCGUUGCGUAAUACCUGGGCCGGACUGAGGUUCGCGCAUCUGCAUGGAUGCUGGCGUAAUGGUCAUCAGUGACCCGUCUUGAAACACGGACCAAGGAGUCGUCUUCGUAUGCGAGUGUUCGGGUGUCAAACCCCUACGCGUAAUGAAAGUGAACGUAGGAGAGAGCUUCGGCGCAUCUCCGACCGAUCCUGAUGUUCUCGGAUGGAUUUGAGUAAGAGCAUAGCGGGGCCGGACCCGAAAGAAGGUGAACUAUGCCUGUAUAGGGUGAAGCCAGAGGAAACUCUGGUGGAGGCUCGCAGCGGUUCUGACGUGCAAAUCGAUCGUCAAAUAUGGG